Molecule: ribosomal RNA, 337 nt
Filed under: uncultured Pleosporales
Lineage: Eukaryota; Fungi; Ascomycota; Dothideomycetes; Pleosporales
Description: eukaryotic LSU rRNA
Rfam family: Eukaryotic large subunit ribosomal RNA (bases 282-337)
Source: RNAcentral
AGCGACUAGCGUGAAUCAUCGAAUCUUUGAACGCACCUUGCACUUUAAGAGUCGAUCUUAAAGUAUACCUGUUUGAGUAUCAUAAACAUUUAUCCAAUUUAUUGGGAUUUGAUGGUUCAAUUGCUCCGGCGAUUGUCUGUUUAAAUGUAGUAGGGAAUCGAGGAUAAGCGCGCUUAUUUCUUGAAUGAGGAUAUUUACUCUUGCAGUAAAGUAAUCAUGAAAGAGUAGGAGGCGGAUCAUUGAGACUCUUAACCUCUCUUCGGAGAACUUUGUACAAAAUGUGAUCUCAAAUCAGGCAAGACUACCCGCUGAACUUAAGCAUAUCAAUAAGCGGAGG